GAUGAACGCUAGCUACAGGCUUAACACAUGCAAGUCGAGGGGAAACGAUAGAGAAAGCUUGCUAUUUCUAGGCGUCGACCGGCGCACGGGUGAGUAACGCGUAUCCAACCUGCCCAUCACUUGGGGAUAACCUUGCGAAAGUAAGACUAAUACCCAAUGACGUCCAUAGAAGACAUCUGAAAUGGAUUAAAGAUUUAUCGGUGAUGGAUGGGGAUGCGUCUGAUUAGCUUGUUGGCGGGGUAACGGCCCACCAAGGCGACGAUCAGUAGGGGUUCUGAGAGGAAGGUCCCCCACAUUGGAACUGAGACACGGUCCAAACUCCUACGGGAGGCAGCAGUGAGGAAUAUUGGUCAAUGGGCGAGAGCCUGAACCAGCCAAGUAGCGUGCAGGAUGACGGCCCUAUGGGUUGUAAACUGCUUUUAUAAGGGAAUAAAGUGAGCCUCGUGAGGCUUUUUACAUGUACCUUAUGAAUAAGGACCGGCUAAUUCCGUGCCAGCCGCCGCAGUAA
RNAcentral lists this ribosomal RNA (508 nucleotides) under uncultured bacterium. RNAcentral's name for it is "partial 16S ribosomal RNA". It matches the Rfam family "Bacterial small subunit ribosomal RNA", at positions 28 to 523 of the family's 1533-position model. The record is from RNAcentral.